Molecule: ribosomal RNA, 497 nt
Filed under: uncultured bacterium
Lineage: Bacteria
Description: partial 16S ribosomal RNA
Rfam family: Bacterial small subunit ribosomal RNA
Source: RNAcentral
GACGAACGCUGGCGGCGUGCCUAAUACAUGCAAGUUGAGCGAUGAAGAUUGGUGCUUGCACCAAUUUGAAGAGCAGCGAACGGGUGAGUAACGCGUGGGGAAUCUGCCUUUGAGCGGGGGACAACAUUUGGAAACGAAUGCUAAUACCGCAUAACAACUUUAAACAUAAGUUUUAAGCUUGAAAGAUGCAAUUGCAUCACUCAAAGAUGAUCCCGCGUUGUAUUAGCUAGUUGGUGAGGUAAAGGCUCACCAAGGCGAUGAUACAUAGCCGACCUGAGAGGGUGAUCGGCCACAUUGGGACUGAGACACGGCCCAAACUCCUACGGGAGGCAGCAGUAGGGAAUCUUCGGCAAUAGACGAAAGUCUGACCGAGCAACGCCGCGUGAGUGAAGAAGGUUUUCGGAUCGUAAAACUCGGUUGGUAGAGAAGAACGUUGGUGAGAGUGGAAAGCUCAUCAAGUGACGGUAACUACCCAGAAAGGGACGGCUAACUACGUG